GGGCGUGUGGUGUAGUGGUAUCACAUCUCGUUUGCAUCGAGAAGGCCCUGGGUUCGAUCCCCAGCGUGUCCA
Transfer RNA from Vitrella brassicaformis, 72 nucleotides. It matches the Rfam family "tRNA". From Rfam's summary of the family: Transfer RNA (tRNA) molecules are approximately 80 nucleotides in length. Their secondary structure includes four short double-helical elements and three loops (D, anti-codon, and T loops). NCBI's taxonomy places the organism in Eukaryota, Vitrellaceae. The record is from Rfam.